Pygocentrus nattereri (red-bellied piranha) is the source of this 673-nucleotide non-coding RNA. NCBI's taxonomy places the organism in Eukaryota, Metazoa, Chordata, Actinopteri, Characiformes, Serrasalmidae. The record is from the annotation of a RefSeq genome assembly.
CGGAUAUAGUGUAACAGCUCAUAUCUGAGUUAUGGCGCUGCUGCUCUGUGUGAUCGGUGUGCUGUCAGUGAGUUUGAGCUCUCAGGCUGGUUUAACUGUAGAAGCAGAACCUGGUGAUGAUGUCACUCUCUGGUGUAAACACAGCCUGAUUAAAUCAAAUUAUUUAUUCUGGUACAAGCACACAUGGAGUUCUGUACCAGAUCGUGUUGCUUGCAAAUAUUACUCAUUAUCCUCCUCUAACACCUGUUUCUUCAUCCCUGAGAGUAACAGGUCAGUGAUGAGAGUGAACUCCACGUUCUCCUCUCUCACUAUAACUGCAGUUAAUCUCUCUGACUCAGGACUCUAUUACUGCAGCAGUGUGGAGAAUAAAGACAUCACAUUUACCACUGCAACGUACUUACAGCUCAAAGAGAGAAAGGAGCCUGUUUCUGAUGAUCCAGAAAAGUCUAAAGAAGAAUCCCACUCUCCUCCUGAUGUGUUCUCCAUGCUGACUCUCGUGUUUGGAGCUGUGAUUGCGGUUCUGCUCAGUGCUCUUCUCAUAAUGAUCUUCAUCAGACAGAGUGAUCGUAAAGAUCUGAGAGAGCAGCAGAGAGACGGUAAAGUACCGCACUUCCAGUAGAAGUGCUGACUUUCUCGUGGUGGAUCCAUAUGUUCAGUGUUACUACAAAGAGGC